CUCCUCGGUUAAUACCCGGGGACGAUGACAUUAGCUGCAGAAUAAGCACCGGCUAACUCUGUGCCAGCAGCCGCGGUAAUACAGAGGGUGCAAGCGUUAAUCGGAAUUACUGGGCGUAAAGCGAGCGUAGGUGGCUUGAUAAGUCAGAUGUGAAAUCCCCGGGCUUAACCUGGGAACUGCAUCUGAAACUGUUAGGCUAGAGUAGGUGAGAGGGAAGUAGAAUUUCAGGUGUAGCGGUGAAAUGCGUAGAGAUCUGAAGGAAUACCGAUGGCGAAGGCAGCUUCCUGGCAUCAUACUGACACUGAGGCUCGAAAGCGUGGGUAGCAAACAGGAUUAGAUACCCUGGUAGUCCACGCCGUAAACGAUGUC
Molecule: ribosomal RNA, 369 nt
Filed under: uncultured Psychrobacter sp.
Lineage: Bacteria; Pseudomonadati; Pseudomonadota; Gammaproteobacteria; Moraxellales; Moraxellaceae
Description: bacterial SSU rRNA
Rfam family: Bacterial small subunit ribosomal RNA
Source: RNAcentral